AUUUAAUUGUUUUUCUACUAUAAUUUUUACCCCUGCAAUUUCUUUGUUGUUGCUUAAUGUUUGUUGUGUUGAAGUUGUUGCAAUUGUUUGAUCUUGGUGCUCUAUUUUGUUGCAAUUUAUUGUAAUGAUUAUAUCGUCAUGUUCAUAUUUGCUUUUUUUUUAAUUUUCUUAUUUCUUUUUUCCGCACUCAACAUGUUCGAUGAAAUGCUUCAACUAGAUUUCUUUGAAUUCUCUCUUUAUUAUUUCUUCUCUUGAUUUUUUUGAUAUUUUUGUGCCUUAAUGACAUCAUGAAUUGGUUAGUGCUCUUCUUGAAUUAUGCAAAUUGCUACGCUAGAAAUGGAAAAGCUAAUUAGCUGAACUUUAAUCUUGGAUUUCAUCUCUCUAUCUUAUGUCCAUCCUUGUAAAACCUGGUAGUUUUGUUUUGGUGCACCUAUAAACUUGAUGUGAGCUUGAUGACUAAUUUAUAGAAAAAGCUAAAAGCAAAAGACCACCAUCCCUACUAGUAUUAAAAAACCAUCUCUGACUAACUUUCUUGUGUUCAUAUUGACUUAGGUGUCUAACUUCUAUAUUAUAGGAAAUAAAUUAAUGUGGCAUAUGUGUCAUGAGACAGAAAUGGAUUUACUAAUAUAUAAAUGGGAUCUCCAAUUCUCCAUUGCAAUGAUUGUUACUUAAGAUAUUAUUUAAUUUUAUAGCACAUACCUUAUUGCAUUAAUUCUUGCCAAGAUAUUUGUCGAAGAAAGAAAUCAGUCUAUGUUUUGUGAAUUAAACCGCUUUAAUUUGUUCUGUUAUAAAUUUUUAAAUUUAUAAAUAGGAGCUGAGGGUGUGCAAGUUUAUUUAAUUUAAUUAGUUUCUACUUUCUAGGGUCAAACAUAUACUUGAAACUCUUAUAAUAUAUAUGUUGGUUACUGCCAAGUGCCAAAUGUAUCUACUCAAUUGUUAAAGAGUAAAGACAGAGCACAUGGAAGAAAAAGCAGGGGAGAAGGUGUAAUGUUUAUUAGAGUAGUACCAAAUUUAUAUUUUUCUCUAUUCUUGUCUUUUGUCUUGGGUUAGAUGUUCAAUCACAAAAGUGGCAUAUGCAGAGCCUGGCCCUCUCUCUUGAGUAAAUUUGUGAUUAUGACUAAUCUGAAUUGCUUUGAAGUUUGAAGAGGUGCUUUGAAGCUUGUUCUUCAGUUGAUGGAUGUUAAAGGCCUCACAAUUUCACACGUCAAGAGCCAUCUUUAGAUGUACAGAAGCAUGAGGGGUGACUUGGGAAGACAAGUAUGAAUUCAACGCCGAAAAGGGGGAGGAUAACAAGGAAGAGUUAUACAAUUUUGUCCUAGCUUGCCACCAUGCAUAAGUGGAUCGAUCAUUUUGGAGGGUCGACUACCCAUGCCAUCUUUUGACAAGGCACUGCAUAUUUUACUAUUUUUUACUUUAAUUUUACCAAUCCACAAUGAAUUCAGUACUUUGCAUAAAUUAAUUAAUCGAAAUCUGUCAAUAAUUCAUCAAGAUUGAAUGUCCAUUAAUAUUUGUGUGAUAGAUCUUCAUAAGGCUUUUCAUGCUUAAUUCUUUUAAAGGCUCAAUAAUUGCCACUACAUAUAGAUAGCGGCUUCACUUUUGGUACCUGAACUUGGGAAGCUUGAGCAUUUACAAUAUCUUUUUGCUGUUCUUUCUAAAGUGACUUUAUUUUUUUUCAGUUGAUUUUAAUUUAAUGUAUUUAAUUUACUUGCAUUCUCUUCUUUCUUGGUUUCUUUGUACUGGUGUUUAUGAAUGAAAUUCAUUUUUUGUUGAAGUCCUGUUUAAUACUAAACAUUCUUGGGUAACAUCUUUUAGGAUAAAGUUUAGGAACAUAUGCAUCAAUUCAUGUAAUAACGAAUUAUACUUUAGCUACAUCUGAUGGAGGAGAAGGAGCGGCAGAAAGCCGAAGCAAAGGCUAAGGAGGUUGAGGCAGCUGAGGCUGCAAAAAGAAGUGCUAGAGCUGCAGUUGCUUCAUUGCUUCCUUCCAAGUUGUUUGGGAAUAAGGAUGCUGAUUCAGAGGCUAAAUGAUACAAAUGCUUCUGAGCCAGAGUUGGUAGAGAGAAUAACUGAAACUGAGGGUUCAGUUAAUGGAGAGACUAAAAAAGAGUGCUGCAGCUACAAGAUUAUGGCUCUUGGAUUGUGACUUGUUUUAUGACUAGAAAUGAGAGUAAUGUUUAUCUGGAAAUUAUACUGAACCUUCAUAAAUGAGAGUAAUGUUUCCUCCCCUACUGAUGAUCUAUUCGCUUUUCUGUGGGGUAGGAGUCUCAAUUGAAAUCAGGGGGUAGGCAGGAUUCUUGUGAAGGUUUGGCAUAAAUUACUCCUUGCUGUUGCCUGAUUUAUCUUAUGUCCAUUCUUGUAAAACUUGGUAGUUUUGUUUGGUGCACCUAUAAACUUGAUGUGAGCUUAAUGAUUAAUUUAAUGUUAAUUCAUAAUUCUACAGUUCUUUAUUACUUUUCCUUUGUUAAUUUUUCUAUGUAAAAUAUUAAUAAUAGAGCAGAUAUAAUAACUCUUAUUAUUUCUUACUGUUACAACUCUUAAACUGUAUACAUACCCAAGCAUAGUUUAGUUGUUGAUGAAGCCCUCAAAUAUUUUAAUCUUUUGCUUAUAACUACUACUUCUUGCUCUUGGAUUAUUUUCAUAGUUUAUUCUUGUGUUUUCAAGCCCGGAUUUGAAGUGACUGAAGAUUGAUCAUUCACCAUAAGGCUUUUGGACUGAACCGGAAUAAUGUUGUCAACUGCAGAAGAAGCUAUUGAACUUACAACAGAGAGGGACUGGAUACCAUUGAAGCAAUUGAUUGUGUUUUAGGAUCAUCUUGGAGUUUCCUUUUGGGAACUUGAUUCCAAGUAUACUGUGUUGGUAUGGUGCAAUCAAAUACUUCAAUGUUUCCUUCUGAAUUGAGAGGUGAAAAGAUAUUUGGAGCCAAAUUGUCUGAAGGUGUUUUCGUUGGCUCAUUUCUCUCCAUGUCAUCAAUAGCAGUGAGGACAAGAGUUGCUUGUGAAGUAAUUGUUGAAGUUAGAUACUAUUGAGGUUGAAGGUGAAGUGAAGUUGCGGAGAAAAGUUGAGGAUUAAGUUACAAGUACAAUUGUUAGCUUUAUAUGUUUGGAUUAAGUUAGGAUUUUUUGAAUUUACAUUUUAUGGUCAACUUUUGAAAUAUAUUGUUUCUAUUUUUGUAAAACUUGUGAGAUUGAGUUUAAAUUUGUUGAAAUAUAAUGCCAUUUAUUA
This is a non-coding RNA of Arachis ipaensis, 3219 nucleotides long. The record is from RefSeq and is a predicted model, not a curated record. NCBI's taxonomy places the organism in Eukaryota, Viridiplantae, Streptophyta, Magnoliopsida, Fabales, Fabaceae.